UUGCAUGCCACAAAUGAAAAAAAAAAAAAAAAAAAAAAAAAAAAAAAAAA
Molecule: non-coding RNA, 50 nt
Filed under: Alexandrium minutum
Lineage: Eukaryota; Dinophyceae; Gonyaulacales; Pyrocystaceae
Source: RNAcentral